AGCGAACGCUGGCGGCAGGCCUAACACAUGCAAGUCGAACGGAUCCUUCGGGAUUAGUGGCGGACGGGUGAGUAACACGUGGGAACGUGCCUUUUGGUUCGGAACAACUCAGGGAAACUUGAGCUAAUACCGGAUAAGCCCUUCGGGGAAGGAUUAUCGCCAUUAGAGCGGCCCGCGUCUGAUUAGCUAGUUGGUGAGGUAAAGGCUCACCAAGGCUACGAUCAGUAGCUGGUCUGAGAGGAUGAUCAGCCACAUUGGGACUGAGACACGGCCCAAACUCCUACGGGAGGCAGCAGUGGGGAAUCUUGCGCAAUGGGCGAAAGCCUGACGCAGCCAUGCCGCGUGAAUGAUGAAGGUCUUAGGAUUGUAAAAUUCUUUUCAGCAGGGACGAUAAUGACGGUACCUGCAAGAAGAAGCCCCCGGCUAACUUCGUGCCAGCAGCCGCGGUAAC
RNAcentral lists this ribosomal RNA (451 nucleotides) under uncultured bacterium. RNAcentral describes it as "bacterial SSU rRNA". It matches the Rfam family "Bacterial small subunit ribosomal RNA", at positions 29 to 524 of the family's 1533-position model. The record is from RNAcentral.